This is a long non-coding RNA of Pollicipes pollicipes, 640 nucleotides long. RefSeq lists it as uncharacterized. The transcript has 2 exons. The record is from RefSeq and is a predicted model, not a curated record. Lineage: Eukaryota; Metazoa; Arthropoda; Thecostraca; Pollicipedomorpha; Pollicipedidae.
CUCAUAAACAGCGGGCGCCGCGCAAAUGCUGCUCAACUGCAAACAUGCUACGCGCGCUGAUAGUCGCCGCGCUUCUUGCGAUACUGCUAGCCACAGCGCUGGCCCAGCAGGAUGGCAAAGCCCGCUUCUGCCGGCUGUGCUGCAGAUCCAGCAAGGUGGCCUGUACUCAGUUGUGCCUGCCAUGCCCGAAGCCAGGGAAAUGACCGUCCGUCGAAGGCAUCAAAUUUUAUCGCCCAGAAGACGCAAAAAGCACGUGCUUAAACGACACCAGCUGUCCGAAGGGCCAGAAGUGCUGCUGGGCCGGCUGCGUUAACGAGUGCAUUCAGGUGUUACUGCGCAAGUGCAGACCCGGCCAAAAGUGCGAGCGCACUGUUCUCAACCGCCUGAUCCCCCUGUCCUCAGCCGUUAUCCAGGUGUGAUGAUGCCCGUUCGGUCCCCAUCGUGAAGCCCAGAGCUGGUUAGUGCCCGUUCGUCAACUCGGCCGCCUCCAUCUGUCUAGUGGGGGCGCAGGGCAAUUUGCCAGAGUGACGCCAGCUAUCCAAAGAGUGAGCGGUGUUGUCAGACGGGCUGCACGUGCAACAGCAGUCCUGUGUGUCGGCGCAAGUAGCGGACCCGGACAGAAAUGCAUACGCGAGGCAAC